This 252-nucleotide ribosomal RNA is filed under the name uncultured bacterium. RNAcentral describes it as "partial 16S ribosomal RNA". It matches the Rfam family "Bacterial small subunit ribosomal RNA", at positions 524 to 776 of the family's 1533-position model. The record is from RNAcentral.
UACGUAGGGUCCAAGCGUUAUCCGGAAUCACUGGGCGUAAAGCGUACGUAGGUGGCGUGUUAAGUGAGAUGUUAAAUCGUGUGGCUCAACCAUACGUUGUGUCUCAUACUGGCAUGCUAGAGGACGGCAGAGGCAAGUGGAAUUACGAGUGUAGCAGUGAAAUGCGUAGAUAUUCGUAGGAACACCAAUGGCGAAGGCAGCUUGCUGGGCCACACCUGACACUGAGGUACGAAAGCGUGGGGAGCGAACAGG